This is a long non-coding RNA of Mus musculus (house mouse), 406 nucleotides long. RefSeq annotates it as predicted gene, 33351. The transcript has 3 exons. The record is from RefSeq and is a predicted model, not a curated record. Lineage: Eukaryota; Metazoa; Chordata; Mammalia; Rodentia; Muridae.
AGCCAUUCUAGAAGGAUCAACGGCUGUAACUGACAGGUUCCAACUUCUAUGCUUAUCAACAUAGAUCAAGCUGAGAACCCAGAGGAACAAACGAGGCUCAUGAACCAGAGACCUGAGCUGAUUUCUUGGUUAUUCUAGAUUGCUCUUUGGGAGAUUUCAGUCCAUGCGCCCUUCAGGUAAAUCACAUGUCCUGAGUGUCCUGGCCACUGUCACAGACUCCACAGACCAAUGGACCCUGCGAUCCCUAUGUUUUGUUGACCCAGUAAGAUCCCAGCUACUCUUGAUGGAAGCCAGUGGUGAUAAAAGUGAAUUCAGCUUCUUUGGUUUCGUUUGGUUUCCUGUCCUACUGUGAAGCAUCGAGAAGGCCAUUACUAGAGAACAGACUUCGAGGACUCCAGAAUCACAA